This 252-nucleotide ribosomal RNA is filed under the name uncultured bacterium. RNAcentral describes it as "partial 16S ribosomal RNA". It matches the Rfam family "Bacterial small subunit ribosomal RNA", at positions 524 to 776 of the family's 1533-position model. The record is from RNAcentral.
UACGAAGGGGGCUAGCGUUGUUCGGAAUUACUGGGCGUAAGCGCGCGUAGGGGGCUUUGUAAGUUAGGGGUGAAAGCCCGGAGCUCAACUCCGGAACUGCCUUUAAGACUGCAUCGCUAGAAUCAUGGAGAGGUGAGUGGAAUUCCGAGUGUAGAGGUGAAAUUCGUAGAUAUUCGGAAGAACACCAGUGGCGAAGGCGACUCACUGGACAUGUAUUGACGCUGAGGUGCGAAAGCGUGGGGAGCAAACAGG